Molecule: small nucleolar RNA, 85 nt
Filed under: Plasmodium ovale (malaria parasite P. ovale)
Lineage: Eukaryota; Apicomplexa; Aconoidasida; Haemosporida; Plasmodiidae
Also listed under: 1 other name
Description: PowCR01_130032700
Rfam family: small nucleolar RNA snoR23
Source: RNAcentral
UGCGUAUGAUGAGUACAAAAAAAAAAUUUUAACUUUCGUUCUUCUGUAUCGUUAGAAGUGAAGAUAAUUUUUGUGUCUGACGCGA